ACAGCUAUGGACUUUGGCUUUUGCCUAUUGUCUCUGGCAUCAGAGAGUCAAACAAAAACAGGACGUUGAGCCUAGAGAAGCUUCAAUUAACAAAAAAGAGUUUUGUGAAUAGGUACACCUAUACAUGUAUUUAUGGUGUUGGAGUCAUGAGUCCAAAGAGGAGUGCGCCUGUGUAAGAGCACGCAUGCCCAGACGUGUGCAUACAUGGCACACAUUGGCGCUCAGUGUAAGUGAAGAGUUCACCUGUUUUCAAAUGACCAGUCCAUAUUGACUAGAUUAGCUAUAGUCUAUGCACAAAGUCAUGGAGCAAACUUUAAACCAAACAUAAUGGAGCUGCUUUAUAUUUGCAAUAAAAGAAGAUGUAAUUAAAUACAAAAAUAACACUAAAGUCUCUAAAUGUGGAAAUAGUAUACGCCAAAAUCAUCAUCGAAAAUUUACAACUUUAUUUGUCCGAACUCACUCAAAAUUAACAAAUGAGGUAUUGAAAAGAGAACACAAAUGGGCAACGUUUGCUUAAAGUUGUGUAUUGGUUUGGCGCCUCCAAAGAAUCAAUGUAAGUGGCGACACAAAUAGAGGUGCGAGUGAACCUGCUGCUCGGCGUACUCAUGACUGGCUAGAUGUUUAGGAAUUGAUGUCCCUACCACUUUAAAAAGCAAAGUCAAAAUGAGCAUCUGGGAUCUCAGCUAAAGGCAAUGUAUGGGUCCCAUAAAAACAAAAUGUUCUAAUAUUCCCCCAAAGACAUAAAUAAGUAGAAAUCCUGCAUCCUGGAGAUGAAGAUUGAUAGGACCCUGGUGCCAAAGUGCAACUCCAAGUAAAAUCCCCAUGCAACUUUAUUUAGCUUGGGAAAAAAUGUAGCAUAACACUCUCCCACAGGGGCUGAAUGUAAAGACAGAGCAGCUCGUCCACAGUGCCUAUCUCUCGCUGGGAUUUUCAGGAAGGUCUCUAUGGUGCAGUUUGCAAGACAGUCA
This 968-nucleotide long non-coding RNA is filed under the name Mus musculus (house mouse). RNAcentral describes it as "long non-coding RNA chr7:136287049-136288017". Lineage: Eukaryota; Metazoa; Chordata; Mammalia; Rodentia; Muridae. The record is from RNAcentral.